AAGAUCAUACUUCACAGGAUCAUUUCUGUAGUAUAUCUUGACUUGUUUCCCACCAGAAACUUGUCUCCUUUCAACCCACGAUGACGAGUUUAAGACGCUGGUUUCUGAGCGUGAAACAGGCUGUGAGUGUAGCUGUCUCGACAGCAUCAAACACAGUCAUUGAGGACCGUUUCCGUUAAAUCCAUGUGAAAUAGCGGAAGGAAACUAGCGUGUUCAGAGUGGU
This 223-nucleotide small nucleolar RNA is filed under the name Daphnia pulicaria. Its description in RNAcentral is "small nucleolar RNA U3". It matches the Rfam family "Small nucleolar RNA U3". From Rfam's summary of the family: Small nucleolar RNAs (snoRNAs) are involved in the processing and modification of rRNA in the nucleolus. There are two main classes of snoRNAs: the box C/D class, and the box H/ACA class. The record is from RNAcentral. Lineage: Eukaryota; Metazoa; Arthropoda; Branchiopoda; Diplostraca; Daphniidae.